This 73-nucleotide transfer RNA is filed under the name Dehalococcoidia bacterium. Its description in RNAcentral is "tRNA-Val". It matches the Rfam family "tRNA". From Rfam's summary of the family: Transfer RNA (tRNA) molecules are approximately 80 nucleotides in length. Their secondary structure includes four short double-helical elements and three loops (D, anti-codon, and T loops). Lineage: Bacteria; Bacillati; Chloroflexota; Dehalococcoidia. The record is from RNAcentral.
GGGCGAUUAGCUCAGUGGGCAGAGCGUCUGCUUUACACGCAGAAGGUCAGAGGUUCAAGCCCUCUAUCGCCCA